CCCUCACUUCGCUGCUCGGAUCCCUUCAGCAUCCUUCCAUCUCACUAGGAAUAAAAUACAGAAUCUCGACCACACUUCGCAAGCCCUCGUCUGCUGUAUCCUUCCAGGCACACACUGGCUUCGUGGCAUCUCGGCUCUUCUCUCGUCUCCUGAAUCCUCUCCCUGUCACCUGUGGACCUGGCCGGGGCAGUUCCCUCGGGGGCCGUUUACCUGGGCUGUUUCUGCGCUCACGUACCCACAGGUGCCGGCAAAGAGUAAUAAUCAUUCACCGGAAAGCAACUGG
This 283-nucleotide long non-coding RNA is filed under the name Heterocephalus glaber (naked mole-rat). Its description in RNAcentral is "lncRNA (ENSHGLG00100046950.1)". Lineage: Eukaryota; Metazoa; Chordata; Mammalia; Rodentia; Bathyergidae. The record is from RNAcentral.